GGGCUGCAGUAUUUUGACUGUACAAAGGUAGCAUAAUCAAUAGUCUCUUAAUUGGUGACUGGUAUGAAAGAUUGGAUGAAAUAUAAACUGUCUCUAAUUUAUAUUAUGAAAUUAAUUUUUUAAUUAAAAAGUUAAAAUAUUUUUAAAAGACGAGAAGACCCUAUAGAGUUUUAUAUAUUUUUUAUUUAAAAUUUUUUAUAAAAAUAAGAAUUGAAAAUAAUAAAUUUAUUUUAUUGGGGUGAUAAAAAAAUAUAAAUAACUUUUUUUUUAGAAAAACAUUGAUAAGUGGUUAUUGGAUCCAAAAUUUUUGAUUGAAAGAAAAAAUUACCUUAGGGAUAACAGCGUAAUUUUUUUUUUUAGUUCAAAUAGGAAAAAAAGUUUGCGACCUCGAUGUUGGAUUAAGAUAAAAUUUAUAUGCAAAAGUAUAAAAUUUUGAUCUGUUCGAUCAUUAAAAUCUUACGUGAUCUGAGUUCA
RNAcentral lists this ribosomal RNA (474 nucleotides) under Loxostegopsis xanthocrypta. RNAcentral's name for it is "partial 16S ribosomal RNA". It matches the Rfam family "Bacterial large subunit ribosomal RNA", at positions 1928 to 2613 of the family's 2925-position model. Lineage: Eukaryota; Metazoa; Arthropoda; Insecta; Lepidoptera; Crambidae. The record is from RNAcentral.